AUUGGACUAUUUCUCCGGUGCGAUUUUGUCAGGCUGUUCCAGUUUUGGGUGGCUGUUAAAACAAGUAAUAAAGGGAAGCCGGAUUAUGUAUGCCGGUAUAUACAUUCCGAUGAUGGAGAUUUGGUAAAAUACAACCUUUUGAGGUCUAAUCUGGAUGAGGAGCGAUGGGUAUCUAUCAAGGACACUAAUCAAUAAUUUGAAUCGAUUCAACUCUGGCAUGUAUCAUUUUUAGUUGUUUAUGUUGAGUAGGUUUCAAUAAAUAACUUUUUAAAUUUGAGCAUGAACUCAAGUACUUCAAAAAUACUUUGGCUCUGUUUUCUUGGUUAAAUUGUACUUUACUGACGUUAUAGUCUAUCAAAAUCCAUUAUUAUUUUCCUUAUGUU
This is a long non-coding RNA of Helianthus annuus (common sunflower), 383 nucleotides long. RefSeq lists it as uncharacterized. The transcript has 2 exons. NCBI's taxonomy places the organism in Eukaryota, Viridiplantae, Streptophyta, Magnoliopsida, Asterales, Asteraceae. The record is from RefSeq and is a predicted model, not a curated record.